This 253-nucleotide ribosomal RNA is filed under the name uncultured bacterium. RNAcentral describes it as "partial 16S ribosomal RNA". It matches the Rfam family "Bacterial small subunit ribosomal RNA", at positions 524 to 776 of the family's 1533-position model. The record is from RNAcentral.
UACGUAGGGGGCAAGCGUUGUCCGGAAUCAUUGGGCGUAAAGCGCGCGUAGGCGGCCCGGUAAGUCCGUUGUGAAAGUCAAAGGCUCAACCUUUGAACGCCGAUGGAUACUGCCGGGCUAGAGUCCGGAAGAGGCGAGUGGAAUUCCUGGUGUAGCGGUGGAAUGCGCAGAUAUCGAGAGGAACACCUGCGGCGAAGGCGGGUUGCUGGGCUGAUACUGACGCUGAGGCGCGAAAGCCAGGGGAGCGAACGGG